CCAGAAGGGCAGGCUUGGGUCAGCUCAGGUUUCUGAGUUUCCGAAGGACAAGUGACCAGUGGCCUUUCGUCACUUAGAGAAACGCUCUUUGCAAGCAUUUGUUUUCUGUUUCCUGGCCAUCUUGGAUGAGAAAGCCAGGACUAUGGGGGACAAGGAGGACAGGAUGAGGAGGGACACAUGCCCACCCAGGCCUCUGCCUGCCUGCUGCUUCCCUUCCUUCCUCUGCCCCUAACGGCGGACACAUGCCAGGGAGCCCCUCUGUGGCUGCGAGCAACUCUCAAAUAGCAGGGAGACCCCCAGAGCUAGGGCUGGGGCUGGACUCAAAGCCCAGGAAAGAAGCCUCAGGGACUUGGUGACAGCAUGUAAGUUUCGGAGCUGGAGUCCACAGCAUGGGGGUGUUAGAGGCCAAGGCAAGGGUACCUAUUCUUACCUAGUAACUACACCUCUGCCUUUGACAUCUCAGAGACAGGCCCAAGACUACAUUCUGUCUCUGCCCUUGCUGGUGGCUGUGUGAGUACCUGCAGCUAGCUUCCACCUACCCUGGCUCAGGCCUAGCCCAGAUACCAGGGCCUAGCGGUCUAGAAGCUGCCUACAAAAGCAACCCUGGAAAGCCAGAGAAAAGUAAGAGGCGUGGCUGAGGGUUACCAGAUAAAAGCCGUCUCCAUCCGGCCCUAGCAAGCUCUUCAAGGAAGUCACCUCAUCUAUCCUCACAGCGGCUGAGUCUGAGGGCUCCUGUCACUCAGCUUCACAGGGUGACCUCACCGGCUGCCGAGUUUGCAACACCGAUCACAAACAAUUCCCGAUUGUGCAUCUUCCAGCCACAGGUCUAGCUGCCUCCUGGCUUGGCUCUUUGUGGCUCAGAGGUACAGUAACUCCACCCAUCCAGAGCCAUCCAGGGCAACGUGCCUUCCAGGGGGGGGCACUCUGUACUCCCAGCAGUCCAGGGGUUGACAAAAAUGACACUCUCCUUCUCUGGCUCUGUUCCAAACACACCAGCCUGCCCUGAGCAUCCUUGAUUCAUAGGAUCCUCCGUCUAAGUCCGCAGCAAGGUUGAUGCAGGACUUCAGGAACACUUAGACGCAACUGCUGCUCACCUUUUCCCCAAUACCCCCAGUCCCAAGCUUACCAGAGCUCUCUUGGAAACUGGCAACAAGUCUUCAAUGAUUCCCGCUGCCUCCACCUCUCUAAUUCCCUCUGUUGUCCCCUGUUGAGACCAUCCCUCCACUGUACUAGUCUGCGAGCUCAUAAGAGGCCUCCCUUAACUAACCAUCAGGGCCCCCUGCCCAUGCUGCAUGGGCUCUCUUUUCUGCCUGCAUUUCACUUCUUAGAACCCAGGCUCAAGCAGGUGAGCUAGUUUAGAGUGUAAAGGUGCCUGCAGUGACAACCUGAGUUCAAUCCACAUGUAUGCCGACCUGAGCAAAUGCCAACCCCCCCAAUUGUAAACAGACAAACAAGUAAACAAAUAAAUGCUAAAACAAAA
Molecule: long non-coding RNA, 1480 nt
Organism: Mesocricetus auratus (golden hamster)
Lineage: Eukaryota; Metazoa; Chordata; Mammalia; Rodentia; Cricetidae
Exons: 2
Source: RefSeq, a predicted model, not a curated record